This 836-nucleotide ribosomal RNA is filed under the name uncultured bacterium. RNAcentral's name for it is "bacterial SSU rRNA". It matches the Rfam family "Bacterial small subunit ribosomal RNA", at positions 58 to 916 of the family's 1533-position model. The record is from RNAcentral.
CAAGUCGAGCGCUCAUAGCAAUAUGGGAGCGGCGAACGGCGUAGGAAUUCAUAGGAACGUACCCUCAGGACGGGGAUAGCUACGGGAAACUGUAGGUAAUACCCGAUGAUCUCCGCGGAGCAAAGGUGUGAUUCCGCCUGAGGAGCGGCUUAUGCGAUAUUAGCUAGUUGGUGGGGUAAUGGCCUACCAAGGCGAAGAUGUCUAGGGGGUGUGAGAGCAUGGCCCCCACGACCGGAACUGAGAUACUGUCCGGACACCUACGGGUGGCUGCAGUCGAGAAUCUUCCGCAAUGGACGAAAGUCUGACGGAGCGACGCCGCGUGCGGGAUGAAGGCCCUUGGGUUGUAAACCGCUUUCGGAGGGGAUGAAAUCCUCGAGGGUUCUCCCUCGAGGUUGACAGAGCCUCAAAAGAAGCACGGGCUAAGUACGUGCCAGCAGCCGCGGUAACACGUACUGUGCAAACGUUAUUCGGAAUCACUGGGCUUAAAGGGUGCGUAGGCGGCGAUUCAAGUCAGAUGUGAAAUGCCUGAGCUCAACUGAGGCAUUGCGUUUGAAACUGAAUUGCUAGAGUAUUUCAGGGGUGUGCGGAACUGCCAGUGGAGCGGUGAAAUGUGUUGAUAUUGGCAGGAACACCGGAGGCGAAAGCGGCACACUGGGGAAUAACUGACGCUGAGGCACGAAAGCCAGGGGAGCGAACGGGAUUAGAUACCCCGGUAGUCCUGGCUGUAAACGAUGAGCACUGGGCGGGAGGGGGUUUCCCCUUUCUGCCGUAGCGAAAGCGUUAAGUGCUCCGCCUGGGGAGUAUGGUCGCAAGGCUGAAACUCAAGGAAUUGACAG